GACGAACGCUGGCGGCGUGCUUAAUACAUGCAAGUCGAACGGAAAGGCCCUGCUUUUGUGGGGUGCUCGAGUGGCGAACGGGUGAGUAACACGCGUGUAAACUGUCCCUGAAUUUGGGAUAAAUUCAGGAAAAUGGGGAUCAUAUCGGAUAGGAGCUCUUGCUGCAUGGUGGGGGUUGGAAAGUUUCGGCGGUUGGGGAUGGACUCGCGGCUUAUCAGCUUGUUGGUGGGGUAGUGGCUUACCAAGGCUUUGACGGGUAGCCGGCCUGAGAGGGUGACCGGCCACAUUGGGACUGAGAUACGGCCCAGACUCCUACGGGAGGCAGCAGUGGGGAAUAUUGCACAAUGGGCGGAAGCCUGAUGCAGCAACGCCGCGUGCGGGAUGACGGCCUUCGGGUUGUAAACCGCUUUCGCCUGUGACGAAGCGUGAGUGACGGUAAUGGGUAAAGAAGCACCGGCUAACUACGUG
Molecule: ribosomal RNA, 468 nt
Filed under: uncultured bacterium
Lineage: Bacteria
Description: partial 16S ribosomal RNA
Rfam family: Bacterial small subunit ribosomal RNA
Source: RNAcentral